Microtus oregoni (creeping vole) is the source of this 263-nucleotide long non-coding RNA. RefSeq lists it as uncharacterized. Lineage: Eukaryota; Metazoa; Chordata; Mammalia; Rodentia; Cricetidae. The record is from RefSeq and is a predicted model, not a curated record. The transcript is spliced from 4 exons.
GGGGACUCAUGGAAGGGAGAGAGAAAGCCUGAUCGGGCUGCUGGACCUCCACUUCAGGUCGCCUCUGGCCAUGGGAAGCCCCUCACUGCGGACUUUUUGAGGAAUGAACCACGCUGGAAAACAUGCACAUCCAAGUGACACAACUCUAUUUGGGAUUGCUUUCUGUGCCAAAUGUCUCCACACGUUUGUCCAGAACAGGGCUGAGCAGCCAGGAACCAACAAGCGGCCUCCUCAAACAUUAGGUUGAGGAAACAGAUCUGCAC